Molecule: non-coding RNA, 2239 nt
Organism: Saimiri boliviensis boliviensis (Bolivian squirrel monkey)
Lineage: Eukaryota; Metazoa; Chordata; Mammalia; Primates; Cebidae
Source: RefSeq, a predicted model, not a curated record
CUUUCUUUCUAAGUACUUUCGUUUAAGUGUUUGUGGUAUUUAGUUUUGAUAGCCUAAAGAUUGUGACAGAGUGAGGAACCUCUAGGCCCUUCAUCCAGUUCAUUUUUAUGAAUGUUUGAAAAUGUGAUGAACAUUUUGAAAACUAAAUAAUUGCUCUUUGCACAGUAGUGCUAGCGGCUUCGCGUUUUGGUCCUCGGACCCGGCAGCUGCUUUUGGUGCUAAGCUGCUAGGAAGCCCUCUCGGCAAGCUCGUUGGAACUUGAACCCAUUGUCACCCCUCCGACUCACUGACAGAAAAAAAAAAAAAAAAAAAAUGGUUGAAGCAGAUCGCCCAGGAAAGCUCUUCAUUGGUGGGCUUAAUACGGAAACAAAUGAGAAAGCUCUUGAAGCAGUAUUUGGCAAAUAUGGACGAAUAGCGGAAGUACUCUUGAUGAAAGACCGUGAAACCAGCAAAUCAAGAGGAUUUGCUUUUGUCACCUUUGAAAGCCCAGCAGAUGCUAAGGAUGCAGCCAGAGACAUGAAUGGAAAGUCAUUAGAUGGAAAAGCCAUCAAAGUGGAACAAGCCACCAAACCAUCAUUUGAAAGUGGUAGAUAUGGGCCACCUCCACCUCCAAGAAGUAGAGGCCCUCCAAGAGGUCUUAGAGGUGGAAGAGGAGGAAGUGGAGGAACCAGGGGACCUCCCUCACAGGGAGGACACAUGGAUGACAGUGGAUAUUCCAUGAAUUUUAACAUGAGUUCUUCCAGGGGACCACCCCCAGUAAAAAGAGGACCAGCACCAAGAAGUGGGGGUCCUCCUCCUAAGAGAUCUGCACCUUCAGGACCAGUUUGCAGCAGCAGUGGAAUGGGAGGAAGAGCUCCUGUAUCACUUGGAAGAGGUAGUUACGGAGGUCCACCUCGAAGAGAACUGCUGCCUUCUCGUAGAGAUGUUUAUUUGUCCCCAAGAGAUGAUGGGUAUUCUACUAAAGACAGCCAUUCCAGCAGAGAUUACCCAAGUUCUCGUGAUACAAGAGAUUAUGCACCACCACCACGAGGUUAUACUUACCAUGACUAUGGUCAUUCCAGUUCACGUGAUGACUAUCCAUCAAGAGGCUAUAGCAAUAGAGAUGGAUAUGGUCGUGAUCAUGACUAUUCAGAUCAUCCAAGUGGAGGUUCCUACAGAGAUUCACGUAAGGAAUCUUGAGAGUUAUGGUAACUCACGUAGUACUCCAUCUACACGAGGGCCCCUGCCAUCUUAUGGUGGAAGCAGUCACUAUGAUGAUUACAGCAGCUCACGUGACGGAUAUGGUGGAAGUCAAGAAAGUUACUCAAGCAGCCAAAGUGAUCUCUACUCAAGUGGUAGUGAUCAGGUUGGCAGACAAGAAAGAGGGCUUCCCCCUUCUAUGGAAAGGGGGUACCCUCCUCCACAUGAUUCCCACAGCAGUUCAAGCCGCGGAGCACCAAGAGGUGGUGGCCAUGGAGGAAGCCGAUCUGAUAGAGGGGGAGGCAGAAGCAGAUACUAGAAACAAAACUUUGGACCAAAAUCCCAGUUCAAAGAAACAAACAAAAAAUGGAAACUAUUCUGUCAUAACUACCCAAGGACUACUAAAAAGAAAAAUUGUGUUACCUUUUUUAAAUUCCCUGUUAAGUUCCCCUCCAUAAUUUUUAUGGUCUUGUGAGGAAAAAAGUAAAACAUGUUUAGUAUUAUUUGACUGUAUGACAUUGCUUUUCAACAAGCAAAUGUUAAAUGUGUUAAGACUUGUUGUACUAGUGUUGUAACUUUCCAAGUUAAAGUGUCCCUAAAGGCUACUUCCUAUAUGAUUUUUCCUAGUAAGUGAGGCAAGAAAUUCUAAGAUCUUCCACAAAACAUCUAGCCAUGUAAAACGGAGAGAUGAAUCAUUCUGUUUAUACAAACAAACUAGCUAUUAGAGGGUAGUUGGGGUAUGCUACUCAUAAGAUUUCAGGGUGUCUUCCAACUAAAACCUCCAUGAUCUCAGUACGAAAAACCUGAAAUCAGAUGCCUAUGUAAGGACGUAAUCACCUAGUAAACCCAAAAAUGCAAAUGGAUAAUGCUGGCCAUUUUGCCUUUCUGACAUUUCCUUGGGAAUCUGCAAGAACCUUCCUUUUCCCCUCCCCCAAUAAGACCAUUUAAGUAUGUGUUAAACAACUACGGAAUACUAAAUAAAAAGUUUGGCCAAAACCAAAAUAAAAAAAGAAAACUGUAAAUAAUUAUGUAUUAUUAGUUCAUUUAUUUCCCUGAAAGU